Molecule: non-coding RNA, 220 nt
Organism: Pelobates cultripes (western spadefoot toad)
Lineage: Eukaryota; Metazoa; Chordata; Amphibia; Anura; Pelobatidae
Source: the annotation of a GenBank genome assembly
GUGGUAUAGCAUUUCCAGAUGUCGAUAAAAUCCAUGAAGCAUGUAUGGCGACUCAUCUUUUACAGUGGCUAGACAAGGAACAGGGAUAUAAAUCAUGGCUUACCCUAGAACAGGAGGAUAGCCCUAGAUAUAAAUUGUUCAUUCUUUUUUGGAUGGGUAUGUUAAAUUUGGGUGAACUGGAUACCAAGCAUUUUUCGAACCGUAUAUUGAUAGAUAUGAU